This is an RNA transcript of Bombyx mori (domestic silkworm), 2007 nucleotides long. It is a transcript of the gene named ionotropic receptor 75a, with no coding region annotated. The record is from RefSeq and is a predicted model, not a curated record. NCBI's taxonomy places the organism in Eukaryota, Metazoa, Arthropoda, Insecta, Lepidoptera, Bombycidae. The transcript is spliced from 15 exons.
AUGGACGUGCAUUUUUUUGCAAUAAUUUCUCUAUUGUCGGCCGUUUCUGGGGCGAAUAUUAUUUCAGAAUUGAUCGUGGACUAUUUUAGUAAUCAGAAUAUUAAGUCCGUUUGCCUUCUGAACUGUGCGAGUGAAAUAUGGGCAAAGAAUUUGGGAAAAACACUAAUGAAUAUGUCCAUUGGCUUAUCAUUGCUUCAUCUGACCAAGAAAACAGACUACAGUGCUUUAGAUAAAUGUUUGAAAUACACUAGUUGGUCGCUUGGGAUUGUUUUAGAUGUUUCUUGUGAAGGAAAUGAUGAUGUUCUUAAUUAUGCUUCAAACAACAGACAUUUCGCCGCAAAUAAAAAAUGGCUAAUCAUUGAAUGUAAAAGAGCUAUUGAUUACCCGAAACAUGAAGCAUUAUAUUUAAAUAAAAAUGAAACUAUAAUUGGGACUAUUAAUUACAAUAAUGCACUCAAGAAUGGAACUGUGCUUGUGUCUGAUGCUAGAAUAAUGAAGACCCUUGAAACCCUAAAUUUGAGUAUAGACGCCGAUAUCAAAAUAGCUUUACAGAAAGGUGCUGAAGAUUUUGUUUUAUACGACGUUUUCAAUUAUGGAAAAAUUCAAGGUGGCAGUUUAAUCGUCAAAGAAAUUGGGACGUGGAACAGUGCAGGUGUUUUCUCAAGUUUAAAUAAAUUCAAAUACUACGAUCGUUGGGACUUUAAUGAACUGGCGUUAAGAAUGAUUCUUGUUAUUUCACCUCCACCUCGGAAAUUUGAUCCGAAAUCUUUGAAAUUACAAGACACUACGCCGACGCCAGGCGUAGUGUCCAUCUUGAAGAUAUCUUCAAUAGUUGUACACGAAAUUGCCGAACUACAUAACUUCAGAUUUAAUUACACAAUCACCGAUCGAUGGAUAGGAACUUUUGAGAAGAACAGCAGUAGGGUUGUGGCGAAUUCGCUUUAUUUUAGAGAACAAGAUAUUUCACCUAUAAUUCGGUAUUUGGCUUAUCUAAGCGACAAAUUGGAAGUAAUUCAUCCUCCUAUUACUUCUAUAGAGACUAGAUACUACUACCGCAUCCCAACGAAAGGUCCAGGGAAAUUGGAGAACCAGUUUUUAAGACCUUUAAGCAAUGGGGCGUGGUUGUGCCUCAUAGCGGUCUCUACACUUUGUGCAAUAUUAUUAAUGAUGUCGGCUAUUGUGGAGCAACGUCCAUCAAUGGUUCAGUAUGCGGUAUUUUCGGUUAUAGCUUCAGUAUGCCAGCAGUUUUUUCAAGAUACGGACGAUGUUGAAGGUCGAAGAAUCUCUGGAGCUCGUAAACUAAUUAUCCUAGUCACCGGUAUGUCCUGCGUGCUUGUCUACAACUUCUACACCAGUAGCGUAGUUAGCUGGCUCCUCAACGGGCCACCACCUUCCAUAAAUUCUCUGAGAGAACUAUUGGAAAGCCCGCUUGAGCUUAUUUACGAGGAUGUCGGAUACACUAAGUCUUGGCUACAGAACCCAACGUAUUAUUACAACAAACGUAACGCCAAAAUCGAAGACGAAAUACGUCAGAAGAAAGUUUUCAACAAGAAAAAAGGGGCUCCGUUGCUGAAAUCUGUUAAGGAAGGGAUUGCUAUGGUGAAAGCGGGAGGGUACGCAUACCACACAGAAGUGAACAGCGCCAACGAUCUUAUAUCAAAGACUUUUACACAGACUGAGCUCUGUGAGUUAGGGUCUUUGCAGUCAAUAGAAAGGACCAACGUUUAUGCAUGUGUACAGAAGCAAAGCCCUUACAAGAAGUUCUUCGAUUGGAGCCUAAUGAGACUACAAGAACGUGGCGUUAUUGAUUGUGUCACAAAGAGAAUGGAAUCGAAACACGUGACGUGCGCUGGAAGCUCUCCAUGAGCCCUGGCCCUGGGAGGAGCUGCACCAGCUUUUAUGCUGCUUGCUUUUGGAUAUAUUUUGGCGACAAGCAUCAUGUUUGUGGAAAGAAUCGUUUUCAAAAUGAAGUACAGAAAAGAAAAAAUAUUGCAAUUCAAAAAAUAA